AAGGGAGCUUGCUCCCGGAUGUUAGCGGCGGACGGGUGAGUAACACGUGGGUAACCUGCCUGUAAGACUGGGAUAACUCCGGGAAACCGGAGCUAAUACCGGAUAGUUCCUUGAACCGCAUGGUUCAAGGAUGAAAGACGGUUUCGGCUGUCACUUACAGAUGGACCCGCGGCGCAUUAGCUAGUUGGUGAGGUAACGGCUCACCAAGGCGACGAUGCGUAGCCGACCUGAGAGGGUGAUCGGCCACACUGGGACUGAGACACGGCCCAGACUCCUACGGGAGGCAGCAGUAGGGAAUCUUCCGCAAUGGACGAAAGUCUGACGGAGCAACGCCGCGUGAGUGAUGAAGGUUUUCGGAUCGUAAAGCUCUGUUGUUAGGGAAGAACAAGUGCAAGAGUAACUGCUUGCACCUUGACGGUACCUAACCAGAAAGCCACGGCUAACUACGUGCCAGCAGCCGCGGUAAUACGUAGGUGGCAAGCGUUGUCCGGAAUUAUUGGGCGUAAAGGGCUCGCAGGCGGUUUCUUAAGUCUGAUGUGAAAGCCCCCGGCUCAACCGGGGAGGGUCAUUGUAAACUGGGAAACUUGAGUGCAGAGUAGGAGAGUGGAAUUCCACGUGUAGCGGUGAAAUGCGUAGAGAUGUGGAGGAACACCAGUGGCGAAGGCGACUCUCUGGUCUGUAACUGACGCUGAGGAGCGAAAGCGUGGGGAGCGAACAGGAUUAGAUACCCUGGUAGUCCACGCCGUAAACGAUGAGUGCUAAGUGUUAGGGGGUUUCCGCCCCUUAGUGCUGCAGCUAACGCAUUAAGCACUCCGCCUGGGGAGUACGGUCGCAAGACUGAAACUCAAAGGAAUUGACGGGGGCCCGCACAAGCGGUGGAGCAUGUGGUUUAAUUCGAAGCAACGCGAAGAACCUUACCAGGUCUUGACAUCCUCUGACAACCCUAGAGAUAGGGCUUUCCCUUCGGGGACAGAGUGACAGGUGGUGCAUGGUUGUCGUCAGCUCGUGUCGUGAGAUGUUGGGUUAAGUCCCGCAACGAGCGCAACCCUUGAUCUUAGUUGCCAGCAUUCAGUUGGGCACUCUAAGGUGACUGCCGGUGACAAACCGGAGGAAGGUGGGGAUGACGUCAAAUCAUCAUGCCCCUUAUGACCUGGGCUACACACGUGCUACAAUGGACAGAACAAAGGGCUGCGAGACCGCAAGGUUUAGCCAAUCCCACAAAUCUGUUCUCAGUUCGGAUCGCAGUCUGCAACUCGACUGCGUGAAGCUGGAAUCGCUAGUAAUCGCGGAUCAGCAUGCCGCGGUGGAAUAACGUUCCCCGGGCCUUGUACACACCGCCCCGUCACACCACGAGAGUUUGCAACACCCGAAGUCGGUGAGGUAACCUUUA
RNAcentral lists this ribosomal RNA (1390 nucleotides) under Bacillus sp. MH02. Its description in RNAcentral is "16S ribosomal RNA". It matches the Rfam family "Bacterial small subunit ribosomal RNA", at positions 72 to 1444 of the family's 1533-position model. Lineage: Bacteria; Bacillati; Bacillota; Bacilli; Caryophanales; Bacillaceae. The record is from RNAcentral.